GAUGAACGCUAGCUACAGGCUUAACACAUGACAAGUCGAGGGAACGACAUCGAAAGCUUGCUUUUGGUGGGCGUCGACCGGCNCGACGGGUGAGUAACGCGUAUCCAACCUGCCCACCACUUGGGGAUAACCUUGCGAAAGUAAGACUAAUACCCAAUGAUAUCCCACGAAGGCAUCCGAAUGGGAUUAAAGAUUUAUCGGUGAUGGAUGGGGAUGCGUCUGAUUAGCUUGUUGGCGGGGUAACGGCCCACCAAGGCUACGAUCAGUAGGGGUUCUGAGAGGAAGGUCCCCCACAUUGGAACUGAGACACGGUCCAAACUCCUACGGGAGGCAGCAGUGAGGAAUAUUGGUCAAUGGGCGAGAGCCUGAACCAGCCAAGUAGCGUGCAGGAUGACGGCCCUAUGGGUUGUAAACUGCUUUUAUAAGGGAAUAAAGUGGGUCUCGUGAGACUUUUUGCAUGUACCUUAUGAAUAAGGACCGGCUAAUUCCGUG
Molecule: ribosomal RNA, 492 nt
Filed under: uncultured bacterium
Lineage: Bacteria
Description: bacterial SSU rRNA
Rfam family: Bacterial small subunit ribosomal RNA
Source: RNAcentral